RNAcentral lists this ribosomal RNA (208 nucleotides) under uncultured bacterium. RNAcentral's name for it is "partial 16S ribosomal RNA". It matches the Rfam family "Bacterial small subunit ribosomal RNA", at positions 568 to 774 of the family's 1533-position model. The record is from RNAcentral.
AGCGCAGACGGUUGAUUAAGUCUGAUGUGAAAGCCCGGAGCUCAACUCCGGAAUGGCAUUGGAAACUGGUUAACUUGAGUGUUGUAGAGGUAAGUGGAACUCCAUGUGUAGCGGUCGGAAUGCGUAGAUAUAUGGAAGAACACCAGUGGCGAAGGCGGCUUACUGGACAACAACUGACGUUGAGGCUCGAAAGUGUGGGUAGCAAACA